Molecule: ribosomal RNA, 1448 nt
Filed under: uncultured organism
Description: SSU rRNA
Rfam family: Bacterial small subunit ribosomal RNA
Source: RNAcentral
UAUGAACGCUGGCGGCGUGCCUAACACAUGCAAGUCGAACGAAGCAAUUAAGAUGAAGUUUUCGGAUGGAAUCUUGAUUGACUGAGUGGCGGACGGGUGAGUAACGCGUGGAUAACCUGCCUCACACUGGGGGAUAACAGUUAGAAAUGACUGCUAAUACCGCAUAAGCGCACAGUGCCGCAUGGCAGUGUGUGAAAAACUCCGGUGGUGUGAGAUGGAUCCGCGUCUGAUUAGCCAGUUGGCGGGGUAACGGCCCACCAAAGCGACGAUCAGUAGCCGACCUGAGAGGGUGACCGGCCACAUUGGGACUGAGACACGGCCCAAACUCCUACGGGAGGCAGCAGUGGGGAAUAUUGCACAAUGGGCGAAAGCCUGAUGCAGCGACGCCGCGUGAGUGAAGAAGUAUUUCGGUAUGUAAAGCUCUAUCAGCAGGGAAGAAAAUGACGGUACCUGACUAAGAAGCCCCGGCUAACUACGUGCCAGCAGCCGCGGUAAUACGUAGGGGGCAAGCGUUAUCCGGAUUUACUGGGUGUAAAGGGAGCGUAGACGGCGAAGCAAGUCUGAAGUGAAAACCCAGGGCUCAACCCUGGGACUGCUUUGGAAACUGUUUUGCUAGAGUGUCGGAGAGGUAAGUGGAAUUCCUAGUGUAGCGGUGAAAUGCGUAGAUAUUAGGAGGAACACCAGUGGCGAAGGCGGCUUACUGGACGAUAACUGACGUUGAGGCUCGAAAGCGUGGGGGAGCAAACAGGAUUAGAUACCCUGGUAGUCCACGCUGUAAACGAUGAAUGCUAGGUGUUGGGGGGCAAAGCCCUUCGGUGCCGCCGCAAACGCAGUAAGCAUUCCACCUGGGGAGUACGUUCGCAAGAAUGAAACUCAAAGGAAUUGACGGGGACCCGCACAAGCGGUGGAGCAUGUGGUUUAAUUCGAAGCAACGCGAAGAACCUUACCAAGUCUUGACAUCCCCCUGACGGGCCGGUAACGCGGCCCUUCCUUCGGGACAGGGGAGACAGGUGGUGCAUGGUUGUCGUCAGCUCGUGUCGUGAGAUGUUGGGUUAAGUCCCGCAACGAGCGCAACCCUUAUCCUUAGUAGCCAGCACGUGAAGGUGGGCACUCUAGGGAGACUGCCGGGGAUAACCUGGAGGAAGGUGGGGAUGACGUCAAAUCAUCAUGCCCCUUAUGAUUUGGGCUACACACGUGCUACAAUGGCGUAAACAAAGGGAAGCGAGACAGUGAUGUGGAGCAAAUCCCAAAAAUAACGUCCCAGUUCGGACUGUAGUCUGCAACCCGACUACACGAAGCUGGAAUCGCUAGUAAUCGCGAAUCAGAAUGUCGCGGUGAAUACGUUCCCGGGUCUUGUACACACCGCCCGUCACACCAUGGGAGUCAGCAACGCCCGAAGUCAGUGACCCAACCGAAAGGAGGGAGCUGCCGAAGGCGGGGCAGGUAAC